GUCCACGCCGUAAACGUUGGGCGCUAGGUGUGGGGCUCAUUCCACGAGUUCCGUGCCGCAGCUAACGCAUUAAGCGCCCGCCUGGGGAGUACGGCCGCAAGGCUAAAACUCAAAGGAAUUGACGGGGGCCCCGCACAAGCGGCGGAGCAUGUUGCUUAAUUCGAUGCAACGCGAAAGAACCUUACCUAGGCUUGACAUGCACGGAAAUCCUCCAGAGAUGGUGGGUCCGUAAAGGGUCGUGCACAGGUGGUGCAUGGUUGUCGU
Molecule: ribosomal RNA, 264 nt
Filed under: uncultured bacterium
Lineage: Bacteria
Description: partial 16S ribosomal RNA
Rfam family: Bacterial small subunit ribosomal RNA
Source: RNAcentral